AGAUAAAGAGAAACACUCAAACAUAGGAAAAACACAGACAUCUCUUUUUUUCUCUCUUGCCGUCUCAUGUCCUCUCUCUCUACUUCUUUGCUACAUUCUUUCAAGUGAAGCCGAGAGUAGGAUAGGCGGCAAAGCAAUGGGAUCAAUCAGGGUCACGGUGACAUUGGAGUGCAUGAUUCCCGGAUGAGUCCAAAUGAUCUGCGUUUGAAACUGAUAAACAAAAGAAAGAUGAAGCGAAUUUCAAGGGUUUUUGAAGAGAGAAGGAAGAUGGACCAAAAGUCAAAAGUUGUCAAAAACUAUUCAGCAUUCAAGGCAUAACAUGCAGCAGCAAAGGUCUGAAUUAAAAGGACGUACUUUCUUGUGGCAAACGCCAGCCACAGAAAGACCUAGAUCCCCAAAUAGAAAUUUGAAAUCUUCUAGGGGACUCUCACCACAAAGAAAUUUCAAUGAGCUGCACCAAGUACCAUCGCUAAGGGCAGCUAAUAAUUCAAGAGCUGGAUGGUUUUUAAGCAAUGAUGGUACUUCUAGGCCAACAGGACCUUUAAUUGUCAAAGGUCCUGAUACUUCAGAGCUAGUCAUGUAGCUUACACCAAUAGGUGGCGUUGGGUAGAAAAGUUUUCAUUCGGUGGAAGAAUCUCACACUGUCACUAGCUUGUUGCAAUUGCUUGGUUUGGGGAAAUAUAACAUUCUCUUCCGGGCUGAAGAGGGACCGAGAAAGAAGAUUCUUCUUGCUCUGUGGCCUCGUUCUAGAUGAGAACAACCAUAGCUGCAAACAUUUAUUGCCUGCACUUUGGAGAGUAUUUGUUACAUCUGUAACUUAUAGCUUGAGUAAAUAUUGACAAGCAUGGGAAGUAUAAAGUAUUUUUUAAGUGGAGAUAUGAGUGUGUUGCUUUUCAAGAACCAGAAAUCUGUCUUGGAGAAAAAAAUGAAACGGUUUAUAUAUGUAAUGGCAUAUGGAAGAUUGUGCUAGUGAAACAUCUAACUAUUUGUUUAAUCAGCAUAAUUUUUUUCUCA
This is a long non-coding RNA of Quercus robur (English oak), 1014 nucleotides long. RefSeq lists it as uncharacterized. The transcript is spliced from 5 exons. Lineage: Eukaryota; Viridiplantae; Streptophyta; Magnoliopsida; Fagales; Fagaceae. The record is from RefSeq and is a predicted model, not a curated record.